This 492-nucleotide ribosomal RNA is filed under the name uncultured bacterium. RNAcentral's name for it is "partial 16S ribosomal RNA". It matches the Rfam family "Bacterial small subunit ribosomal RNA", at positions 29 to 507 of the family's 1533-position model. The record is from RNAcentral.
AGUGAACGCUGGCGGUAGGCCUAACACAUGCAAGUCGAACGGCAGCACAGUAAGAGCUUGCUCUUACGGGUGGCGAGUGGCGGACGGGUGAGGAAUACAUCGGAAUCUACUUUUUCGUGGGGGAUAACGUAGGGAAACUUACGCUAAUACCGCAUACGACCUACGGGUGAAAGCAGGGGAUCUUCGCACCUUGCGCGAUUGAAUGAGCCGAUGUCGGAUUAGCUAGUUGGCGGGGUAAAGGCCCACCAAGGCGACGAUCCGUAGCUGGUCUGAGAGGAUGAUCAGCGACACUGGGACUGAGCCACGGUCCAGACUCCUACGGGAGGCAGAGGUGGGUAAUAUUGGACAAUGGGGGCAAGCCUGAUCCAGCCAUACCGCGUGGGUGAAGAAGGCCUUCGGGUUGCAAAGCCCUUUUGUUGGGAAAGAAAAGCAGCAGGUUAAUACCCCGCUGUUCUGACGGUACCCAAAGAAUAAGCACCGGCUAACUUCGUG